UCCCUAGUAGCUCAGUGGUAGAGCAAUCGGCUGUUAACCGAUUGGCCGUAGGUUCAAAUCCUACCUGGGGAG
RNAcentral lists this transfer RNA (72 nucleotides) under Nitzschia dubiiformis. RNAcentral's name for it is "tRNA-Asn". It matches the Rfam family "tRNA". Rfam says of the family: Transfer RNA (tRNA) molecules are approximately 80 nucleotides in length. Their secondary structure includes four short double-helical elements and three loops (D, anti-codon, and T loops). The record is from RNAcentral. Lineage: Eukaryota; Bacillariophyta; Bacillariophyceae; Bacillariales; Bacillariaceae.